Molecule: ribosomal RNA, 557 nt
Filed under: Streptomyces noboritoensis
Lineage: Bacteria; Bacillati; Actinomycetota; Actinomycetes; Kitasatosporales; Streptomycetaceae
Description: bacterial SSU rRNA
Rfam family: Bacterial small subunit ribosomal RNA
Source: RNAcentral
UGUGCAACGGGUGAGUAACACGUGGGCAAUCUGCCCUUCACUCUGGGACAAGCCCUGGAAACGGGGUCUAAUACCGGAUACGACCCGGAAGCGCAUGCUUCUGGGUGGAAAGCUCCGGCGGUGAAGGAUGAGCCCGCGGCCUAUCAGCUUGUUGGUGGGGUAAUGGCCUACCAAGGCGACGACGGGUAGCCGGCCUGAGAGGGCGACCGGCCACACUGGGACUGAGACACGGCCCAGACUCCUACGGGAGGCAGCAGUGGGGAAUAUUGCACAAUGGGCGAAAGCCUGAUGCAGCGACGCCGCGUGAGGGAUGACGGCCUUCGGGUUGUAAACCUCUUUCAGCAGGGAAGAAGCGAAAGUGACGGUACCUGCAGAAGAAGCGCCGGCUAACUACGUGCCAGCAGCCGCGGUAAUACGUAGGGCGCAAGCGUUGUCCGGAAUUAUUGGGCGUAAAGAGCUCGUAGGCGGCUUGUCACGUCGGAUGUGAAAGCCCGGGGCUUAACCCCGGGUCUGCAUUCGAUACGGGCUAGCUAGAGUGUGGUAGGGGAGAUCGGAAU